GGAAGGAUCAUUAAUGAAUAAACUUUGAACAGGUUGUUGCUGGCACUCUUCUUGUGGGGAGGGCAUGUGCACGCUUGUCAUUUUUAUUUCUCCACUGUGCAUAUAUUGUAGGUCUGAAGUUUUUGAUUGAUAUUGUUUGAUUGAGGAAUUGCUGUGCCCUUGUUUCUAAAGGUCAGCUUUGCCUUGCAUCUUCAGAUCUAUGUUACCAAUUUUCAUAAUCUCAAAUUGUGUUUAGAAUGUUGAUUUGUGGAUAAUAAUAUACAACUUUCAGCAAUGGAUCUCUUGGCUCUCGCAUCGAUGAAGAACGCAGCGAAAUGCGAUAAGUAAUGUGAAUUGCAGAAUUCAGUGAAUCAUCGAAUCUUUGAACGCAUCUUGCGCUCCUUGGUAUUCCGAGGAGCAUGCCUGUUUGAGUGUCAUUAAAUUCUCAACUGCAUCAAAUUAUUUUGAUGUGGAUUGGAUAUGGAGGUUUUCUUUUUGCAGGCUUUUUUUUUUGAAGUCGGCUCCUCUGAAAUAUAUUAGUGGUAUCUGAGCAGAGACUACUGCAGGCAUGAUUAAUUAUCUAUGCCUCUUGUAAUACUGCAUAAACUGCUUCUAAAUGGCACACUGACCAAUUUGACCUCAAAUCAGGUAGGACUACCCGCUGAACUUAAGCAUAUCAAUAAGCGGAGGAAAAGAAACUAACAAGGAUUCCCCUAGUAACUGCGAGUGAAGCGGGAUAAGCUCAAAUUUGAAAUCUGGUGGUUUUUUUGACUGUCCGAGUUGUAAUCUAGAGAAGUGUUACCUGUGCUGGACCAUGUACAAGUCUCCUGGAAUGGAGCAUCAUAGAGGGUGAGAAUCCCGUCUUUGACAUGGACUACCAGUAUAUUAUGGUGUGCUCUCAAAGAGUCGAGUUGUUUGGGAAUGCAGCUCAAAAUGGGUGGUAAAUGCCAUCUAAAGCUAAAUAUUGGCGAGAGACCGAUAGCGAACAAGUACCGUGAGGGAAAGAUGAAAAGAACUUUGGAAAGAGAGUUAAACAGUACGUGAAAUUGCUGAAAGGGAAACGCUUGAAGUCAGUCACGUUGACUAGAAAUCAGCCUUGCUUUUGCUUGGUGCACUUUCUGGUCUUUACGGGUCAGUAUCAAUUUUGACCAUUGGAUAAAGUCUUUGGAAAUGUAGCAUCUUUGGAUGUGUUAUAGUCCAUUGUCGCAUACAGUGGUUGGGAUUGAGGAACUCAGCAUGCCACACGGCCAGGUUUCGACCAUGUUCAUGCUUAGGAUACUGGCAUAAUGGCUUUAAUCGACCCGUCUUGAAACACGGACCAAGGAGUCUAACAUGCCUGCAAGUGUUUGGGUGGAAAACCCAUGCGCAUAAUGAAAGUAAAAGUUGAGAUCUCUCUCUCAAGGGGAGAGCAUUGACGCCCGGACCAGACCUUUUGUGACGGAUCCGCGGUAGAGCAUGUAUGUUGGGACCCGAAAGAUGGUGAACUAUGCCUGAAUAGGGUGAAGCCAGAGGAAACUCUGGUGGAGGCUCGUAGCGAUUCUGACGUGCAAAUCGAUCGUCAAAUUUGGGUAUAGGGGCGAAAGACUAAUCGAACCAUCUAGUAGCUGGUUCCUGC
RNAcentral lists this unclassified non-coding RNA (1594 nucleotides) under uncultured fungus. RNAcentral's name for it is "sequence contains 18S rRNA gene, ITS1, 5.8S rRNA gene, ITS2, 28S rRNA gene". The stretch from base 614 to 1594 matches the Rfam family "Eukaryotic large subunit ribosomal RNA", at positions 1 to 961 of the family's 3401-position model. Lineage: Eukaryota; Fungi. The record is from RNAcentral.